Molecule: ribosomal RNA, 524 nt
Filed under: uncultured bacterium
Lineage: Bacteria
Description: partial 16S ribosomal RNA
Rfam family: Bacterial small subunit ribosomal RNA
Source: RNAcentral
AACGAACGCUGGCGGCGUGCUUAACACAUGCAAGUCGAGCGCGAAAGGGAGGGGCAACUCUCCCGAGUAGAGCGGCGCACGGGUGAGUAACGCGUGGGUAACCUACCCCUCGGCGGGGGAUAACUACUCGAAAGGGUGGCUAAUACCGCAUGAGACCACGGGGUCUUCGGGCUCCGGGGCCAAAGGUUGCGUCGGCUUGCCGGCGCCGUCACCGGGGGAUGGGCCCGCGUCCGAUUAGCCAGUUGGCGAGGUAACGGCUCACCAAGGCUACGAUCGGUAGCUGGUCUGAGAGGAUGAUCAGCCACACUGGAACUGGAACACAGUCCAGACUCCUACGGGAGGCAGCAGUGAGGAAUAUUGCGCAAUGGGGGAAACCCUGACGCAGCAACGCCGCGUGGGUGAAGAAGGCCUUCGGGUCGUAAAGCCCUUUCGGACGGGACGAACGCUUCGCGGUGACAAGCCGUGAAGUCUGACGGUACCGUAGGAAGAAGCACCGGCUAACUCCGUGCCAGCAGCCGCCGUAA